RNAcentral lists this ribosomal RNA (498 nucleotides) under uncultured bacterium. RNAcentral describes it as "partial 16S ribosomal RNA". It matches the Rfam family "Bacterial small subunit ribosomal RNA", at positions 30 to 523 of the family's 1533-position model. The record is from RNAcentral.
AUUGAACGCUGGCGGCAUGCCUUACACAUGCAAGUCGAACGGUAACAGGUCUUCGGAUGCUGACGAGUGGCGAACGGGUGAGUAAUACAUCGGAACGUGCCUAGUAGUGGGGGAUAACUACUCGAAAGAGUGGCUAAUACCGCAUGAGAUCUACGGAUGAAAGCAGGGGAUCGCAAGACCUUGUGCUACUAGAGCGGCCGAUGGCAGAUUAGGUAGUUGGUGGGAUAAAAGCUUACCAAGCCGACGAUCUGUAGCUGGUCGGAGAGGACGAUCAGCACCACUGGGACGGCGACACGGCCCCGACUCCUACGUGAGGCAGCAGUGGGGAAUUUUGGACAAGGGGCGCAAGCCGGAUCCAGCAAUGCCGCGUGCAGGAUGAAGGCCUUCGGGUUGUAAACUGCGUUUGUACGGAACGAAAAGCCCCGGGUUAAUACCCUGGGGUCAUGACGGUACCGUAAGAAUAAGCACCGGCUAACUACGUGCCAGCCGCCGCCGUAA